AACGUAGGAGACAAACGUUAUCCGGAGUUACUGGGCGUAAAGGGCGUGUAGGUGGUCGUGUAAGUCUGGCGUGAAAUUUUUCGGCUUAACCGGGAAAGGUCGUCGGAUACUGCACAACUAGAGGACGGUAGAGGCGUGUGGAAUUCCGGGUGUAGUGGUGAAAUGCGUAGAGAUCCGGAGGAACACCAGUGGCGAAGGCGACACGCUGGGCCGUACCUGACACUGAUGCGCGACAGCAUGGGGAGCAAACAGG
Molecule: ribosomal RNA, 253 nt
Filed under: uncultured bacterium
Lineage: Bacteria
Description: partial 16S ribosomal RNA
Rfam family: Bacterial small subunit ribosomal RNA
Source: RNAcentral